AAUGAACGUUGGCGGCGUGGAUUAGGCAUGCAAGUCGCGCGACAAGGAACCUUCGGGUUCUGGAGGAGCGGCAAACGGGGUAGUAAGGCAUCGGAACGUACCCUCUUGUUGGGAAUAGCCGCGGGAAACUGCGAGUAAUGCCCAAAUAAUCCCGUACGGGGCAAAGGUCCGCCGCAGGAGGAGCGGCCGAUGUGAUACCAGCUAGUUGGUGAGGUAAUGGCUCACCAAGGCUUAGACGUCGUAGGGGGGUGUGAGAGCAUCGGCCCCCCACCACUGGGGACUGAGAUACUGCCCAGACACCUACGGGUGGCUGCAGUCGAGAAUCUUCGGCAAUGGGGCNCAAGCCUGACCGAGCAACGCCGCGUGCGGGAUGAAGG
Molecule: ribosomal RNA, 377 nt
Filed under: uncultured bacterium
Lineage: Bacteria
Description: bacterial SSU rRNA
Rfam family: Bacterial small subunit ribosomal RNA
Source: RNAcentral